UACAGAGGGGGCAAGCGUUAUUCGGAAUUAUUGGGCGUAAAGGGCGCGUAGGCGGCUUGGCAAGUGGAAGGUGAAAUCCCUCGGCUUAACCGAGGAACUGCCCUCCAAACUGCUUCGCUUGAGACCAGGAGAGGUGAGUGGAAUUCCCAGUGUAGCGGUGAAAUGCGUAGAUAUUGGGAGGAACACCAGUGGCGAAGGCGGCUCACUGGACUGGUACUGACGCUGAUGCGCGAAAGCGUGGGGAGCAAACAGG
RNAcentral lists this ribosomal RNA (253 nucleotides) under uncultured bacterium. RNAcentral describes it as "partial 16S ribosomal RNA". It matches the Rfam family "Bacterial small subunit ribosomal RNA", at positions 524 to 776 of the family's 1533-position model. The record is from RNAcentral.